CCUGGCAGAGCGAUAGGGCUUAGCUUCUGCUCACUAACGAUCUGCUAACUCACACCUCCUGCCUCCUACUAUGCCUGAGAGGGCACGGCUGGCGCCCGCCCCCACGCACACACCAGCUCUUCAGUGGUCGGGCUCACUCUUGCACUUACACUGUCACACACACGGUUUAGUACACUCCUGGUAAAAUCGGGUAGCUUAACUAUCUGUAUGCUAGGAAUACUGCUAUACUAGAGGGCGGGAGAGGUCUGAGGUACUACAGGGGUAGGGGUGAAAUCUUAUAAUCCUUGUAGGACCACCAGUGGCGAAGGCGUCAGACUGGAACGCGCCUGACGGUGAGGGACGAAAGCCAGGGGAGCGAACCGGAUUAGAUACCCGGGUAGUCCUGGCCGUAAACGAUGCAUACUAGGUGAUGGCACGGCCAUGAGCCGUGUCAGUGCCGUAGGGAAACCGUUAAGUGUGCCGCCUGGGAAGUACGGUCGCAAGGCUAAAACUUAAAGGAAUUGGCGGGGGAGCACAAAUAA
RNAcentral lists this ribosomal RNA (521 nucleotides) under uncultured archaeon. RNAcentral describes it as "bacterial SSU rRNA". It matches the Rfam family "Archaeal small subunit ribosomal RNA", at positions 358 to 885 of the family's 1478-position model. The record is from RNAcentral.